AUGGACGACAAGAGGGCCUUGUGUGAACCACCGCCCCUUCCUGCUGAAGUAGCAGUAGGUGAAUCUCAGGAGUCUCUCCGAGAUGUUGUGGAAAGAAUUAGGUCAGAGGUUGAAACACAAGCCAAGACUAUUGAUUCCCUGUGCAAAACUUUAUUCAUGCACGAGGCAGAGAGAACCCAGAAUCUCAAUACCAUGGCAGUCCUUCAAUCCGAGGUGCACCAUUUGGCUGCACAUGUUGCCGCUCAGCACCUUGAGGAGCGUUUUGAGGGCCUACGCUGUGAGGUCUCCACUGAGCUCCACUACUUGCGCAGCCUCCUGUCCCACUCUCUCUGCUCCUGUCCUACUCUCCAAGCCUCCUGCUCCAGCACUCACCCCUCAGACAUCCAGAGGCAGGCUGCCAUCAACCACAUCUCUCAGGAACUCUACCACAGUCGAAGAGUCCUGUGGGAGCAGAUUGCUGAGCUAAGGGAGGAAAUCCACAACAUUCAUGGCCUGCUUAAAAAACUAAGAGAUGAAACUAUGCGCAGAUUGACAGAGAAAUACUGCAAAGAUAUGUGCUUGGAGAGGAUGAUUGACAGCUAUCAGAUGAAGGACGACGCUCUCAAACUGCAGAGGCCUCAGGACAUGCUCAGGUCAAAUGCAAGGUCAGAUGUUUCUGAGUUACAGAAUAAGCUUCAGACUAUAACAAUAUCGAAAGGCAAGGCUCCCAAUAAAACAGGCCGAACUGAACGAAUAGGACAGAGGGUUAUGCCAGCCAAUUCAGAUUCAGAUGAAGGGCAAAGUGGAAUAUGUGCUAAAGGAAUGACACCAAAGAUCAAAGAGGAAAUCGAUGUGUCUGCCAGAAGGAAAUAA
This is a long non-coding RNA of Oncorhynchus kisutch (coho salmon), 852 nucleotides long. NCBI's taxonomy places the organism in Eukaryota, Metazoa, Chordata, Actinopteri, Salmoniformes, Salmonidae. The record is from Ensembl.